This 616-nucleotide ribosomal RNA is filed under the name uncultured bacterium. RNAcentral describes it as "bacterial SSU rRNA". It matches the Rfam family "Bacterial small subunit ribosomal RNA", at positions 8 to 670 of the family's 1533-position model. The record is from RNAcentral.
AGAGUUUGAUCCUGGCUCAGAACGAACGCUGGCGGCAGGCCUAACACAUGCAAGUCGAGCGAGAUCUUCGGAUCUAGCGGCGGACGGGUGAGUAACGCGUGGGAAUGUGCCCUUCUCUACGGAAUAGUCCCGGGAAACUGGGUUUAAUACCGUAUACGCCCCUCGGGGGAAAGAUUUAUCGGAGAAGGAUCAGCCCGCGUUGGAUUAGGUAGUUGGUGGGGUAAUGGCCUACCAAGCCGACGAUCCAUAGCUGGUUUGAGAGGAUGAUCAGCCACACUGGGACUGAGACACGGCCCAGACUCCUACGGGAGGCAGCAGUGGGGAAUCUUAGACAAUGGGGGAAACCCUGAUCUAGCCAUGCCGCGUGAGUGACGAAGGCCCUAGGGUCGUAAAGCUCUUUCGCCAGGGAUGAUAAUGACAGUACCUGGUAAAGAAACCCCGGCUAACUCCGUGCCAGCAGCCGCGGUAAUACGGAGGGGGUUAGCGUUGUUCGGAAUUACUGGGCGUAAAGCGCACGUAGGCGGACUAUUAAGUCAGGGGUGAAAUCCCGGGGCUCAACCCCGGAACUGCCUUUGAUACUGGUAGUCUUGAGUUCGAGAGAGGUGAGUGGAAUUCC